GUUGAAGCGGGUGGCGGGGCCUCUGCUUAGGACCUGCACAGAAGGGGAGAGGCAGCACCUCGAAAGGAGGGUCUCUGGAGUGUGGGGUUCAGGAGUUUGGAGAUCAGGUCAACUGAACGCACGCAUUUUUUCUAAGGGUCACUGUUUACAUGCCGGGCCCUGUGUUGGCACGCUCCUGGAGCAGUUUUAUUUGCUAUAAGAUGGAAACGGUUGUGGUGGGCAGUACAGAGAUGGAACGGUGGAGGAAUGUCAGAUGUACCUUACCUGCCCGCCUCCUGAGAGCCUCAGAGAUCUUGGGAUUCCAGUGCAA
Orcinus orca (killer whale) is the source of this 310-nucleotide long non-coding RNA. RefSeq lists it as uncharacterized. NCBI's taxonomy places the organism in Eukaryota, Metazoa, Chordata, Mammalia, Artiodactyla, Delphinidae. The record is from RefSeq and is a predicted model, not a curated record. The transcript has 3 exons.